This 253-nucleotide ribosomal RNA is filed under the name uncultured bacterium. RNAcentral's name for it is "partial 16S ribosomal RNA". It matches the Rfam family "Bacterial small subunit ribosomal RNA", at positions 524 to 776 of the family's 1533-position model. The record is from RNAcentral.
UACGAAGGGGGCUAGCGUUGCUCGGAAUCACUGGGCGUAAAGGGCGCGUAGGCGGCCAAGUAAGUUGGGGGUGAAAGCCCGUGGCUCAACCACGGAAUUGCCUUCGAUACUGCUUGGCUUGAGACCGGAAGAGGUGAGUGGAACUGCGAGUGUAGGGGUGAAAUUCGUAGAUAUUCGCAAGAACACCAGUGGCGAAGGCGGCUCACUGGGCCGGAUCUGACGCUGAGGCGCGAAAGCGUGGGGAGCAGACAGG